This 267-nucleotide unclassified non-coding RNA is filed under the name Hevea brasiliensis (rubber tree). Lineage: Eukaryota; Viridiplantae; Streptophyta; Magnoliopsida; Malpighiales; Euphorbiaceae. The record is from RNAcentral.
UGGUGGCAGCUCAGGUAAUUCAGGCUUGGGAAGCUCAGGCAAUGUUACCUCUAGAAGAUGUCGUGCAUCUACAUUGAUUGACAGAGUGACGAGUGAGAGCAGAAAGAUGAAACGUGGGGAAGGAAGAUUUUCCAUAAUAUGGAGACAAGAUCAGCCGGCUGCAAAAUGAGUAGCAAUUAAGUUUUUCCUUUCACUUCUAUUGCGUGUGUUGAUUUUCACUUGUGUUGAGCUUUUAUAGAAGUGGGAAGUGGAGAAUAGAGAAGCUUC